UACGUAGGGAGCGAGCGUUGUCCGGAUUCAUUGGGCGUAAAGAGCUCGUAGGCGGCUUGGUAAGUCGGAUGUGAAACCUCCAGGCUCAACCUGGAGUCGCCAUCCGAUACUGCCAUGGCUAGAGUCCGGUAGGGGCCCACGGAAUUCCUGGUGUAGCGGUGAAAUGCGCAGAUAUCAGGAGGAACACCGAUGGCGAAGGCAGGUCUCUGGGCAUUAACUGACGCUGAGGAGCGAAAGCAUGGGGAGCGAACAGG
Molecule: ribosomal RNA, 254 nt
Filed under: uncultured bacterium
Lineage: Bacteria
Description: partial 16S ribosomal RNA
Rfam family: Bacterial small subunit ribosomal RNA
Source: RNAcentral